RNAcentral lists this ribosomal RNA (329 nucleotides) under uncultured eukaryote. Its description in RNAcentral is "partial 18S ribosomal RNA". It matches the Rfam family "Eukaryotic small subunit ribosomal RNA", at positions 1470 to 1796 of the family's 1831-position model. The record is from RNAcentral.
CCCUUAGAUGUCCUGGGCCGCACGCGCGCUACACUGAGUGUGUGAGAUACGAGUCUGCCUGGUCCGGCAAGGUCUAGGUAAUCGCUAAAAGACACAUCAUGCUUGGGAUAGAUUAUUGCAAAUAUUAAUCUUGAACGAGGAAUUCCUAGUAAGCGCAAGUCAACAGCUUGCGUUGAUUACGUCCCUGCCCUUUGUACACACCGCCCGUCGCUACUACUGAUUGGAUGUUUAAGCGAGGUUCUCGAACUGCUAGCGACUUAGCUUCGGUGAGGUCGCAGUGUGGGAAGUGAACCUAGCUUUGGUGUCUAGAGGAAGUAAAAGUCGUAACA